RNAcentral lists this non-coding RNA (26 nucleotides) under Cricetulus griseus (Chinese hamster). The record is from RNAcentral. Lineage: Eukaryota; Metazoa; Chordata; Mammalia; Rodentia; Cricetidae.
AUUAGUUUUUGUAUUGGAAGGGCUCG